Non-coding RNA from Heterocephalus glaber (naked mole-rat), 2052 nucleotides. The record is from RefSeq and is a predicted model, not a curated record. Lineage: Eukaryota; Metazoa; Chordata; Mammalia; Rodentia; Bathyergidae.
UCUUGGGAUAAGCAAGGACAGUGAUGUGACAGAAAGUGGGAGGGAUUUGGUCUGACCUGGAUUCGAGUUUUAAUUCUCCUAUGCUCCAGCUGUGUGUUUCUGGAGUACAUAUUUCACCUUUCUGAGCCUUGGUUUUUCUUCUGUCAAAAAUGGGCAAAGUAGGGCGGGGGAUUUAGCUCAGUGGCACUGUGCCUGUUUUGCAAGCGCAAGGUCCUGAGUUUGAUCCCCGGUACACCCCCCAACAAAAGGGCAAAGUAAUGUUUUAUGGGAUCAAAUUAAAUAAUUGCUAUAAAGCACCUAGUGAGGGUGUAAUAUGUAGUAAGUACUCCAUAAAUCCAAUAUUUCAUUUCUUUCUCCCGACAGAAUGGUCAGGCAGGUGAGACUGGAAGGCUCAGAGGGACCAUGGGAUUUAACAAAAGAUGCACAGCAAGCGCUACCUACCUCCUUCUUUCCCUUAGGGUUCCCUGUCAUCUGCUACUCUUGGGACUGCUCCGCUCAUUCCCCAACAGAAGGCUGAGGCCCCCGUCUCCACCCUGUCUCUAGCUACCCUGUAAAAGUGACUGUCACUGUGAACGUUCCUUGAGCUCUUUCCGGGCACCCGCCUGGUGCUCAGAGUUAGGGUUUCAUUUUAUUCUUCAUCCUUGGAAGAAAGCAACAUAAUUAUUCUUCCCGUUUUAAAGGCCUCAGUUUUAGAGAUGGGAAGACUGAGCCUCGGAGCUUCCCACCAGUUCCCCAGGGUCGGUCUCAGCGGUGGUGGACACCAAGCCGAUAGAAUCAGGGAGGCCCCUUCACCUGUCUUGGGGAAAGAUCUGGACCCUCCUCGCCUUCUGGCCCCACCCACCUCCAUCACUAUGGCAACCACGCAGGCACCUGAGGGAUGUAGAUUUAUUUGACUCUGAUGACAACCCACUUCCUGGAAAGGGAAACUCAGAAGACUCAGAGAAAGCAUGUGUUUCACCACCAAGGAAGUACAGAGAGAGACUUUCUUUGACCUGUCUGGCUGCAGAGCUGGCCUCUUUCUAUGAGACCUAGAAAACAUUAAGCAUCACCAAAUGGCAAGAACCUUGGAUGCCAGCAUUUGGGCAGUGUUGCAGGAAUUAGCUGGCCCAUUAAAUUCAGGGCAAGAAGCAUUCAGAGCCCAACCUGGGCACUGGAUGAUAAGAAGCCCAAUCCAGGAUCCCAUCCGGGUACCACAUCAGCUUUCAUCCUCAUUUCUUAGACCCCCCUCUGUGGGGAGUGUUCUCAAAUGGUCCUUGUUUGGAUGACCUUGUUGGCUCUGCAGAGCAUGGACGGGCAGUAUGCAGCAGGUGCACAGCUGGAUUGGUCUGAUGUUUUUCUGAAGUUAGAGGGGGGAAUCUCUUUGAAGAGGAUGAGCCCAGAGGUAAAGCACUGCUCCCACCACGUCUCAUCAAAGUCCACACAGCCUGUGUCACCUCUCGCUGCUGACUUGAACCUUUGUUGUGCAGUGGACAGGACAGCAUCUGUCAGGCUUCUCUACUGGGAGGUGACUCUGCUUCUCUCCCUUCAAGCUUCCCUCUUUUGGAAGAAGUCACUGCACACAUCCCAAACUUUCGGGGUUGGAAUUCACUCCCCCUCCUUGAGGACAGAGGAUCUACAUGAAUUAUACAGAAUUAUUCUGCACAGGAGAAUGUUCUCUUCUUUGUCCAUUGAUUCCGUCAUCUCUUUGUAUCAGGAUGGACCCAUGGAUUUUUGUUUUAUACUUUGAGACAUAAUCCAGCACCACUCUGUGCUUUUUAAAAUGAUGCUUGAUUCUUUCUUCCUUGGUUUAUCAGCAUAUCCCAAAAAUCUGUUCGGAAGCAAUCUCAUUCCAUGGGGUUUUACCAGGCAAUCCUCUUAAAAUAGUUUUCAGAGGCAAGUCAUUUGAGGUCACAGUGGUGAAGAGAACCUGACUGCAGGACUUGUCAGUUCUUUUAAUGUGCUGAUAAUGUGAGGAGUGAGUCAUUCAGAGGAGGACCUUACUGGCAACAUUUCCCACAUUUCUUUUCUUUGGUACCCUGGUCUGGUGGAGGGACACACAUGAGAAAAUUAUCU